This 253-nucleotide ribosomal RNA is filed under the name uncultured bacterium. Its description in RNAcentral is "partial 16S ribosomal RNA". It matches the Rfam family "Bacterial small subunit ribosomal RNA", at positions 524 to 776 of the family's 1533-position model. The record is from RNAcentral.
UACGAAGGGGGCUAGCGUUGCUCGGAAUCACUGGGCGUAAAGGGUGCGUAGGCGGGGCUUUAAGUCAGGGGUGAAAUCCUGGAGCUCAACUCCAGAACUGCCUUUGAUACUGGAGAGCUUGAGUCCGGAAGAGGUGAGUGGAACUCCGAGUGUAGAGGUGAAAUUCGUAGAUAUUCGGAAGAACACCAGUGGCGAAGGCGGCUCACUGGUCCGGUACUGACGCUGAGGUGCGAAAGCGUGGGGAGCAAACAGG